This 1050-nucleotide long non-coding RNA is filed under the name Anas platyrhynchos platyrhynchos (common mallard). Its description in RNAcentral is "lncRNA (ENSAPLG00000024513.1)". Lineage: Eukaryota; Metazoa; Chordata; Aves; Anseriformes; Anatidae. The record is from RNAcentral.
GGUGACGGUGACACGGUGACGGUGACAUGGUGACACGGUGUCAUGGUGGCAGUGACAUGGUGACGGUGGUGACAUGGUGAGGGUGUCACGAUGACAGUGAUGGUGACACGGUGACAUGGUGAUGGUGGUGACAGUGGUGACAUGGUGACGGUGACUUGGUGACAGUGACGGUGUCGCGGUGAUGGUGACACGGUGACACAGUGAUGGUGACAUGGUGACGUGAUGGUGGUGGUGAUGGUGGUGACAUGGUGAUGGUGUCAUGGUGACAUGGUGACAUUGACAUGGUGACACAAUGGUGGUGGUGACAGUGGUGACAUGGUGACAGUGACACGGUGAUGGUGACACAGUGACGGUGACACGGUGACAGUGACAUGGUGACACGAUGGUGGUGAUGGUGGUGACACGGUGACAGUGUCGUGGUGAUGGUGUCAUGGUGACAGUGACAUGGUGACGCGGUGACAGUGUCAUGGUGACACAAUGGUGACGGUGACACGGUGACAGUGUCAUGGUGACACAAUGGUGACGGUGACGCGGUGACAGUGUCAUGGUGACACAAUGGUGACGGUGACACGGUGACGGUGACAUGGUGACGUGAUGGUGGUGGUGAUGGUGGUGACAUGGUGACAGUGACGGUGACACAGUGACAUGGUGACGUGGUGACGGUGACAUGGUGACGUGGUGAUGGUGACACGGUGACGGUGACAUGGUGACAUGGUGACAUGGUGGUGAUGACGGUGGUGACGCGGUGACAGUGUCAUGGUGACACAAUGGUGACGGUGACACGGUGACGGUGACAUGGUGACAUGACGGUGGUGACAUGGUGAUGGUGACAUGAUGACACAAUGGUGGUGGUGAUGGUGGUGACACGGUGUCGGUGCCCCCCCCCCCCGCUGGGCGCGCGGCUGCGGGGGUGCGUGGCCGACUUCGGGCUGUCGAAGCCGGUGGGGGGGGGGGCAGUACUACCGGCAGGGCCGCGUCGCCCCCGUCCCCGUCAAGUGGGUGGCCCUGGAGAGCCUGGCCGACCGCGUCUACACCACCAAGAGCGACGUG